GCCCCAGUGGCGGAAUAGGCAUACGCGGCAGGUUGAGGGCCUGUGCCUUUUUAGGCGUGCUGGUUCAAAUCCAGUCUGGGGCACAA
RNAcentral lists this transfer RNA (86 nucleotides) under Chloroflexota bacterium. RNAcentral's name for it is "Chloroflexi bacterium tRNA-Leu". It matches the Rfam family "tRNA". Rfam says of the family: Transfer RNA (tRNA) molecules are approximately 80 nucleotides in length. Their secondary structure includes four short double-helical elements and three loops (D, anti-codon, and T loops). Further hydrogen bonds mediate the characteristic L-shaped molecular structure. tRNAs have two regions of fundamental functional importance: the anti-codon, which is responsible for specific mRNA codon recognition, and the 3' end, to which the tRNAs corresponding amino acid is attached (by aminoacyl-tRNA synthetases). tRNAs cope with the degeneracy of the genetic code in two manners: having more than one tRNA (with a specific anti-codon) for a particular amino acid; and 'wobble' base-pairing, i.e. permitting non-standard base-pairing at the 3rd anti-codon position. The record is from RNAcentral. Lineage: Bacteria; Bacillati; Chloroflexota.